Molecule: long non-coding RNA, 2854 nt
Filed under: Daucus carota (carrot)
Lineage: Eukaryota; Viridiplantae; Streptophyta; Magnoliopsida; Apiales; Apiaceae
Description: long non-coding RNA (DCAR_LNC000999)
Source: RNAcentral
UGACUUUCACGGAGAUUAAGAAAAAGAUAGUAAGUUUAGUUGAAAAGUGUGUAAGGUGGUGGGACCUAUCAAUGUUUAAUAAUGGAUUUGAGAUAGUGAAGGAAAAUAGUGGGUGUAAUAGUGUUUAUAUUAUUAUAUAAUGGAGAUAGUAGAAGAAAGUAGUGGGUGUAAUAGUGUAAAGUAGUGUUCAAAAAUAGUGAGUAUAAUAGGUUCAUUCUUUUUGGGACGUCCCAAAAAAGAAUAAACAUCAUAUAAAAUGGGACAGAGGGAGUAUGAACUAGGAAAUUUGAUCACCAACCUGGACUUUGCUUUGUGAUAGACAUUCAUUCUGAUCCAUUUUAAGAGCUAAAAUUUGCUCUCAACUCCCUGUUACUCUAAUCCAAAGCUAUUGCAAAAUUACGAUACAACUUUGUCAAAGCUUAGAAAAUAUCAGAAGAAGAAGAAUAUAUAUAGUCUAGUCCUGAUUAAUGGGAAGGGGUGCAUCAAUUAUUGUAUGUCACUAGAAACAAAUCAGGUAGUAGUCACUUUAAUCACGUUAUACUUUAAUGAAUAGGCUUGCCACUGAAUAAAGAAAAUUCCAGCUCUCGAUCAGUCUCAAUGUCUCAUCUCACAAACCAACAAAACUUACUCCUCCUACUUGAUAAUACCAUGUGCAUUGAACUUUUCUAUGUCUCCAACAAUUAAAUGGGCCCGCUUUCAUUUCCUGUAUCAUGGUCCUUGUGUGGGGACUUAUUGUAUUCUUCCUGUAAAUUAAUUGUUAAGUUUAGUAGCCAUAAUGGAUUUAUAAUCUUAAACUUAUAACAAAAAACAUAUAUGAAUUCACUUGAUUGGUACACUUCUAGCUUUAGUUAUCAAUAGAGAAAUGGAAAAUGUUCAGUAAAACAUUGAAUGUGCAGUAGUAUCACUACACCAUAGAUGCACUUACGCAACCCCAAAAUUGUGUGUUGCACUGAAAAAUGUUGUAAUAGCUCCAAAAUUUUUAUCUACGGCAACAUUGGUCUUUUGAUGUUGCUGACUUGUAUACACGGCGUUCUCGUAGCUCUAAGAAAUGUUGUAGAUUGCAACACUUAAAAUUUGUUGCCUCAAUAUUCUAAUUAAAUGUAAUUUAAUUAAAAAUUAUAAAGAGAACAAUUAGUGAUCAUAAAAUAAAACAAAGUCCAAAAAAAAAUAAAAUAAAUAUUUUAACGCAAAGUCGGUAUUAAGGCGAGUAAAAUUAUUUUUAUAAAAUUUUGUUAUUUAAAUAAUUUUAAAAUACGUCAUGCUAAUAAAAUUAAAAUGAUAAUUAAUGGAAUAAAAUUUAAAAAUACUAUUUCACACAAAAUUAAACAAAAAUACUUUUUUUAAAAAAUAUAAAUUUAUCAUUAUAUCAAAGUAUAUCAUUUUUGUGGAAAAUUUGUUUUGAAUAAAUAAAUUAGUGAAAAUAUAUAUAAAAAUUAAAAAUGAAAAAAAAAAGAAGAAGAGGUGUUUGGGAGAAGGGAGACAGAUUGCUUUUGGGGUGUUAGAAGCGGGACAAUUUGCCGCCUCUGUCUUGGUGAAAUAAUUGAACUACACAAUACACAUACCUUUCCUCUUACACAAACACAAAACCACAGAAACACAAAACCACAGCUCGCGAUGCACACUGCUCGAGACUAGGGUACGAUUCAAGGUGAAGCUCGAUCGAGAUUAGUGUUGAAGGUGAAGCUCGAGAUUAGGGUUCAAGCUCAAGCUCUUUUCUUCAAUUAGGGUUCUGAUUGGGGUGAAAUCAACUCGGGAUUCUCAAAUCGAGCUGAAAUAUUAGGGCUAUUAUCAGGUAUUAUUCUUUAUUUAACCUCUUCAUUUGCAUCUAUGGAUUUUGAUUUUGUAUCUGUAGAGAUUGAGAUAAUGUAUGUGUUUGCUCUCUCUCUCUCCCUCGCUCUCUCUGGCCCCCUCUCUCUCUCUCCCUCCCUCUCUCUCUCUCUCUCCCUCCCUCUAUCUCUCUCUGUACCUCUCUGUACCUCCCAUCUCUCUCUCUUUCUCCCCCUCCCCAUCUCCUUUCCCUCUCUCUACCUCUCUCUCCCCCUCAUGUCUCACUCAGUCCCUCCCUACCUUUCUCUCCCCCUUCUUCUAUCUCUCUCUGUUUUAAAUCUUUAAUUAAUGGUAUGUAUAAUGUAUGACUAUUUUUGUAUAGUGUAUAAUGGAUGUCUACAUGCUCUCUGUUAAACUGAGUAUAAUAGGUUCAUUCUUUUUGGGACGUCCCAAAAAAGAAUAAACAUCAUAUAAAAUGGGACAGAGGGAGUAUGAACUAGGAAAUUUGAUCACCAACCUGGACUUUGCUUUGUGAUAGACAUUCAUUCUGAUCCAUUUUAAGAGCUAAAAUUUGCUCUCAACUCCCUGUUACUCUAAUCCAAAGCUAUUGCAAAAUUACGAUACAACUUUGUCAAAGCUUAGAAAAUAUCAGAAGAAGAAGAAUAUAUAUAGUCUAGUCCUGAUUAAUGGGAAGGGGUGCAUCAAUUAUUGUAUGUCACUAGAAACAAAUCAGGUAGUAGUCACUUUAAUCACGUUAUACUUUAAUGAAUAGGCUUGCCACUGAAUAAAGAAAAUUCCAGCUCUCGAUCAGUCUCAAUGUCUCAUCUCACAAACCAACAAAACUUACUCCUCCUACUUGAUAAUACCAUGUGCAUUGAACUUUUCUAUGUCUCCAACAAUUAAAUGGGCCCGCUUUCAUUUCCUGUAUCAUGGUCCUUGUGUGGGGACUUAUUGUAUUCUUCCUGUAAAUUAAUUGUUAAGUUUAGUAGCCAUAAUGGAUUUAUAAUCUUAAACUUAUAACAAAAAACAUAUAUGAAUUCACUUGAUUGGUACACUUCUAGCUUUAGUUAUCAAUAGAGAAAUGGAA